UUUCGCUGCAGGAUUGAGAGAGAUAUUUUGUGGGAGACUUUUGGAGCUUGGGCAGCAAGCUAGAGGGGGUGCUUUUGCUGCCCUUUUUGGGAGAGAUAUUUGGUAGAGGUAUUCGUUUUGCUUGGGGAGCAAGUCUGAGGGGUGGGGGGAGCGUAGGUUGUUACCUUCAGAGAUGAGAUAUUUUUUGGAUUGUAGGAUUUUCUUGGAGGGGAAGACACCUUAGAGGGGGAGUGACAGAACACUUCUUUAGGAGGGAUAGCUUGAGAAAAGGAAAAGAUUGAGGGGAAGAGAGUUUAAGCUUGAAGGGAGAGGCAACUAAGCUAAAAAGGUGGAGAGGUAGGCUGUGAGAAGGAAAAACCAGAAGGAGAAGACAGGAAAGGUUGUACAUCCUUACCUGAGGGAGCCAGAUAAUGCUAUCAUAGAAUAAAGAUCGUGAGUGUUGAGGAUGAAUAAAGCUCCUUCAGAUGGUUUGGGUUUGCACGAAGAUCUUGGAUAGGAAAGAAGCAGGGUAAUGCUCAAGUCGUAUCUCGUGGAAAUACUAUAGUUCUGGUUGAUUUGGAUCAGUUUGUUACUAAGGAUGUCAUACCGAUCAAUGAGAAAGAAGUUGAUGCUCUUCCAGUCAUGGCAAUGAAGCUCUCUGCCACACUUGUUGUUCGCGGAGUAGCGAUGGUCUCCAAAUCGAGUGACUCCGCUUUAAGAUUCAGAAAGUCAAGUAGAUAACAGAAAUCAAAGAAUGGCUAAAGACCAGUCAGUGGUUGGGUGAAGACGGAUUUACUAUGAACAGCAUGGUAGCGAAGCAUUGAUCUGUAGUGACAGUGAAGAAGAUAUUGUAGAACCUGAGAAAGAGAAGCAUGAAUUUUCUAAAAGUGAAGGAUCCUAUAAUGUGCUCUCUCUCUCAAGGCUAAGGACAUGAACAGAAUGAAGAAUCUAGCUGAGUUAGAAGAUUGGAAAGAAGUUAAGUGACAACAGCAAUGAGGAUCAACCUAUUAAGGUUAUUUGGAGACUUCGGAGAGGAAGAAUUUAAUAUGGGACCAGAAAAACAAUGUUUGAGCAUUUUAGGGAGCCAUUAUCUAGUUCUGACGCCAUUAACCACAAGCAGGCCCCGUCUUAUGGGUCUCUUUAUGAUAAGUUAAGAAGAUCAACACGUGUGCUUAUUAGAAAUCCCGGAUACGUGUAAGGAGGACAGAGUGUGCAUGGGAAGAUGGAUGUGCUGUCAAAGACUUAGUCCAAGUUGUUCUCAAUGUUCACAUAUUUGCAAAUGAGUGGAAGGAGUGGGUCAUGUAGUUAUAGCUACUUAUUUGCAACGUGUUGAGUAGUUGUUUCCUUAUUUGUAGGAAGUGGUUGAACUUUAUGUAUUUAAAUUCUAUCAGAUUCAAUAAGAAGGCAGCAAAAGAUUUGAUCCAAACUCUAUGGUUUAUUCUCACCGGAAGAGAAUUAUAUUCUGGCUUUGACUGGGACCUAUCACUCUAUGCCAAGUCACUUAGCAUAAAUGAUGCCACAAGUCGACCCUAAGGCCUUGAUUGUUCUUUGGUCCUCAGUGGUUCACUCUAUGCCAAGUCACUUAGCAUAAAUGAUGCCACAAGUCGACCCUAAGGCCUUGAUUGUUCUUUGGUCCUCAGUGGUUCAGAGCUUGGCUAAAUGUUUAAUGAAAGGGAUGCUAACUGAAUCUGGUCAUCAUGGCACCUUCACCACAUCAUACUUGUCGCUCAUCAUCACUUCCCCACCCAUGCCAUCCUUACCCACGUAUAUACCCAUUUUCCAUGCCCACACUUCUUCCCCCACCCCCCACCCCCCCCAAUGCAUAUACUCAUUAAACCCACUUCGCUUUCUAAGUCUAUUCAUACCCAUUUCCUACACCCUAUAGUUGCCACCCUCAUUUUCACCUUAUCCAUCCAUGAAAUCACUAAACUCAUAAGAUCUCACCACUCUUCAUCUCUCAUUCCACUUGCUUGCCCAUAUUCACCAACCACCGAAAUUGUCUCACUGCCCACCCUUUACGUCUCCCGUAUCUACUACACACAUAUACGCUCAUUUCCUUUCACUAUCUUUCCCUUCACUCCACUACUUCAACUGAUUUUCUUCACCGUUUUCUCCUCUUAUACUCUCAUUCCCUCAGUUCGCAUGGAUAUCUAUCAAAGGGCAUGUUCAUUGACACAGGGCAAACAAGAUCACUUGUGAUUGAGAACGGGUUUUAAACGGGUCACAAGGAAGCUAUAUUCGAGGUCCAUAGUACAUGCCACAUUGGAGGUUAUACAGAAGAGAAGGACCGGGAAAUCUGAGGUUCAUGACUGUCGUAAAACGCAUGUUUAGAAUGCGAGAGAAUGGUUGCAGUUGAGGAAAUGGCAUAAUUGCACGUCCUCUGUAGUGAUAAAACUGAGAUUCUUACUCUAAGUCGCCUCACUGUCGAUUGAAAUUUCGUGACAUAAUCGCCUUGCCUAUGGUCAGAGUAUCAAGCCAGGAUAGUGGUCUUUCACUUGAUGAAAAGAGCAGACAUGUCUCAACACGCAUGAGGGGAAUUUUUGGCUACCCGGCACCAGAAUCCACAUGCAUGGUCACUUCGGUGUGCAUGCUACUAGCUUUGGCUGGUUCCUAGCCUUGGCACCCUCAGUACCUGACAGUCUCCAAUCAACCAGAAGAAAGCAUCUCUAGGAGGGCAAUAGAACAGAUCUGACGCUGAUAAAGGGCAGCACAUUACUGGCUUCCAAAAAAAAGAAGAGGCACUUCCAACUUACCAGACAAUGCUCAACACGCUGGAUGAUGUUUGAGAUGAGAUGGACGCAUGCCUCACUCCAUGGACAGUUUGGAUAAAAGCACUGACAGCUGUAGAGAUCCUCCAAGCCAUUGAAAAUGACCAAGAGAACAAGGAAGGUUGGUAUUGCUGAGCGAUAUGAAUACUCGUUACGGAGCUAGUUUGCGUACCCCGAUUAAGAAGAUGGAGAUGAAACUGCAGAUCCAUGUGCAGAAAACUUUAGAAAGCUAGAUGAGUCUUUAGUUUCUGAAGAUGAUAAGGAGGAACAAUAUGCUCUAGUGCAGAUGAUUGGGUUGUAAGUGCAUUAGGAUCAGGGUGACUCUAGCGGCUUCUUCUCCAUAGUUCUGUCUUUCAAUGACUUCAGAAAAGGAGCUCCCAAGCAACCAGAAGUUUCUGUUGGCAGCGAGGAGGUUUUCCACCUGAUCUGGUUCCCGCUCCGGGUUGAAAAUGUCGUCCCUAUACCCAUUAGAGGAGGUGCAUGGCAAGGAUUCCUAAGAAGCAGGCUAAGUUGCUGUCUGACUUCUUAUACCAUUUGAUCAGAUAAAGAGUGUUAUUGAGCAAAGUUGUUGCAGGGAAUGGAGAGCUACUGUGCCCGAUCAUUUGCAAAGGCUCUUGAAGUCAUUCUGUGUGCCUAGGCAGAGGACACGAGCUUGAACCUAAUAUCUUUUGUGACUGAGUUUAGGAACCCCCAUCUUCAAAGGGGGAAUCAAUGUCGAAUCAAUGUGAUAAAGAGACAUAUUAUCAACGUCAUGGAGGAGCCCUCCACGUGAAGAGAAGUUUGGCUAUGGAGAGUGGUCUUCCUAUCCUGAGGUUGUUCAGAAGUUACGCUGCUAUGGGUAAGGGGCCUGGUGUCAUAAGCAGAGGGCCAGCUGUUAUAAUCCCAAUGGCUGUAAAAAAAUGUUGAUCCUAAGCAAAGAGUCCUUUUUUUUUUCUUUUCCAUAAGUUGUUUUCAAACGGGAUGCGAUAAUCAGAGCAACGACAUGAUGCGCUUCGAAUUCAUAUAUCUGAAGAAGCUGCCCUAAUAUAUGAUUGUUGACAAAUUUGAGGUUGCUUCAAUGCAUUGA
Vitis vinifera (wine grape) is the source of this 3813-nucleotide long non-coding RNA. RefSeq lists it as uncharacterized. The record is from RefSeq and is a predicted model, not a curated record. Lineage: Eukaryota; Viridiplantae; Streptophyta; Magnoliopsida; Vitales; Vitaceae. The transcript is spliced from 2 exons.